This 393-nucleotide ribosomal RNA is filed under the name uncultured Gammaproteobacteria bacterium. Its description in RNAcentral is "bacterial SSU rRNA". It matches the Rfam family "Bacterial small subunit ribosomal RNA", at positions 9 to 402 of the family's 1533-position model. The record is from RNAcentral. Lineage: Bacteria; Pseudomonadati; Pseudomonadota; Gammaproteobacteria.
GAGUUUGAUCCUGGCUCAGAGUGAACGCUGGCGGCAGGCCUAACACAUGCAAGUCGAGCGGCAGCACGGGUAGCAAUACCUGGUGGCGAGCGGCGGACGGGUGAGGAACACAUCGGAAUCUGCCUCGUCGUGGGGGAUAACGUAGGGAAACUUACGCUAAUACCGCAUACGACCGAGAGGUGAAAGCGGGGGAUCGCAAGACCUCGCGCGAUGAGAUGAGCCGAUGUCGGAUUAGCUAGUUGGCGGGGUAAAGGCCCACCAAGGCGACGAUCCGUAGCUGGUCUGAGAGGAUGAUCAGCCACACUGGAACUGAGACACGGUCCAGACUCCUACGGGAGGCAGCAGUGGGGAAUAUUGGACAAUGGGCGCAAGCCUGAUCCAGCCAUGCCGCGU